GAUUUGGCAUAAACGGGGCAAUCUGCUGUGUUCCAGUCUUUCAACCUUAAAUGUUAUCCGCAUACCUUUGCACCUUAAAUGAAUGCACAGUUCGAGGUGAACGGUGCAUGUAGCUGAAUACAACCAAAAGCAGAUUGUAACGUCCUUCUUUAAAAUGCAAAAGUUCACAGGAAGGUUUAACCAUACGACGGGAAACAAUCGACUCCCUUCCCCAAAGACAGAGAGAGAGAGGGAACACCAAAACCUGAAGAUGCAAAUUAAACUCAACUAGACCCAUCUCCGUGUUUGGCGAGUUGAAUUUUCCUGUUGUUCCUACGAGAAAUCCAUUUCGAUAUCAGUGUAAUAAAGAGAGAGGAAGUAAAACGUUCAUUUUAAACAUUAGUAAGCGGUUUCUUGAUUAGUGGUGGAAUGAAUUUCAGGAGUGGAGCUAAUGCAGCUCGGAGUGAGGACGAAAUCAUCGUGCACGGUAGCAGCAAUAUUUUCCGGAGAAAUUAAACAGACCUGCAGCUCAGAUUUCCCUUCAUUCUAUUUAAGAGAAGCCCAGCGCUGCUUAUUGUGGAAGAAUCUACUGUUCCAUCUAUCAGGGAGUUAUCAUGCUGAGACAGAAUGUGAAAUGGACCUGAAUGAGGAUUACAGAAAAGCAAGAGCUGAGUUAAUUCAAUAUCUCCAUUUGUUAUGGACUAUAUCUGUAUCAUUCUUGUUUCCUGAUAAUAAUACUUUGCAUUUCCACAGUGUUGUUUAUCUGGAGAUUUCAAAGUGCAUUACAAACAUUCAGUAAAUAGGUAAGAAUUCUUAUAUUCAUUUUUACAGAAGGGGAAACCGCAGUAAAGGCAAGUGUAGGCAUCAACCUUUGAACAUGCUGGCUUUAAGUUGGGCCCUGCCUACAUUAGAAACUUUUACACUAGGAAAAUUACUGGUGCAACAUGCUAAUAAAGAUGCACAAUAGCAGUUUAAAACA
Molecule: long non-coding RNA, 958 nt
Filed under: Gopherus agassizii (Agassiz's desert tortoise)
Lineage: Eukaryota; Metazoa; Chordata; Testudines; Testudinidae
Description: lncRNA (ENSGAGG00000025174.1)
Source: RNAcentral